GCCAGGCAUGGUGGUGGGCGCCUGUAGUCCCAGCUACUUGGGAGGCUGAGGCAGGAGAAUUACUUGAACCCGGGAGGCGGGGUUGCAGUGAGCUGAGAUUGCGCCACUGCACUCCAGCCUGGGUAACAGAGUGAGACUCUGUCUCAAGAAACAAACAAACAAAAGCAAUGAAUCACAUGAAUCUGGGAGGCGGAGGUUGCAGUGAGCUGAGAUUGUGCCACUGCACUCCAGCCUGGGUGACAGAGUGAGACUCUGUCUCA
Molecule: unclassified non-coding RNA, 260 nt
Organism: Pan paniscus (pygmy chimpanzee)
Lineage: Eukaryota; Metazoa; Chordata; Mammalia; Primates; Hominidae
Rfam family: Metazoan signal recognition particle RNA
About the family: The signal recognition particle (SRP) is a universally conserved ribonucleoprotein.
Source: Ensembl